AAUAUUUGACAAUGGGCGAAAGCCUGAUCCAGCCAUGCCGCGUGUGUGAAGAAGGUCUGCGCCUUGUAAAGCACUCUACGUUGGGAGGAAUGUAAGUCACUCAUUACCUAGCAAUUUUGCCGUUACAUAUGCAAUAAGCACCGGCUAACUUCGUCCAAGCAGCCGCGGUAAUACGAAGGGUGCAAGCGUUAAUCGGAAUUACUGGGCUUAAAGGGCGCGUAGGUGGUUUGUUAAGUUAGAAGUGAAAGCCCGGGGCUUAACCGUGGAAUUGCUUUAAAAACUGAUGAGCUAGAGUAAGGUAGAAGUGAGUGGAAUUUCCAGUGUAGCGGUGAAAUGCGUAGAUAUUGGAAGGAACAUCGGUGGCGAAGGCGACUACCUGGACAGAUACUGACACUGAGGUGCGAAAGCGUGGGGAGCAAACAGG
RNAcentral lists this ribosomal RNA (424 nucleotides) under uncultured bacterium. RNAcentral describes it as "partial 16S ribosomal RNA". It matches the Rfam family "Bacterial small subunit ribosomal RNA", at positions 360 to 776 of the family's 1533-position model. The record is from RNAcentral.